Molecule: long non-coding RNA, 205 nt
Filed under: Lathyrus oleraceus (garden pea)
Lineage: Eukaryota; Viridiplantae; Streptophyta; Magnoliopsida; Fabales; Fabaceae
Description: Pisum sativum (pea) long non-coding RNA (PSAT_LNC042360)
Source: RNAcentral
ACCUCUCUUUCCAUUUUCCGAUUUGAAUCCGUGAAGAUAUAACAAAGAGACAAAGAGUUGUUUUGCUUCAAAUAGCAAAAGAAGAUCGUUACUCUCUUCUUUCGGUGAGUUUUCUUUCUAAAUUUAUUUACUCUCUCAGUGUAUCAUAAGAUUCACUCUCUUACUGUAUCAUAAGAUUCACUCUCUUAUUGUAUCAUAAAACCUC